This 465-nucleotide ribosomal RNA is filed under the name uncultured bacterium. RNAcentral describes it as "partial 16S ribosomal RNA". It matches the Rfam family "Bacterial small subunit ribosomal RNA", at positions 28 to 507 of the family's 1533-position model. The record is from RNAcentral.
GACGAACGCUGGCGGCGUGCUUAACACAUGCAAGUCGAACGGAAAGGCCCUGCUUGCAGGGUACUCGAGUGGCGAACGGGUGAGUAACACGUGGGUGAUCUGCCCUGCACUUCGGGAUAAGCCCGGGAAACUGGGUCUAAUACCGGAUAUGACCUUCCAUGUAGUGUGGGGGGUGGAAAGAUUUAUCGGUGUGGGAUGAGCCCGCGGCCUAUCAGCUUGUUGGUGGGGUAAUGGCCUACCAAGGCGUCGACGGGUAGCCGGCCUGAGAGGGUGGACGGCCACAUUGGGACUGAGAUACGGCCCAGACUCCUACGGGAGGCAGCAGUGGGGAAUAUUGCACAAUGGGCGGAAGCCUUAUGCAGCGACGCCGCGUGGGGGAUGACGGCCUUCGGGUUGUAAACCUCUUUCGACAGGGACGAAGCUUCGGUGACGGUACCUGUAGAAGAAGCACCGGCUAACUACGUG